GACGAACGCUGGCGGCGUGCUUAACACAUGCAAGUCGAACGGAAAGGCCCUGCUUUUGUGGGGUGCUCGAGUGGCGAACGGGUGAGUAACACGUGAGUAACCUGCCCUUGACUUUGGGAUAACUUCAGGAAACUGGGGCUAAUACCGGAUAGGAGCUCCUGCUGCAUGGUGGGGGUUGGAAAGUUUCGGCGGUUGGGGAUGGACUCGCGGCUUAUCAGCUUGUUGGUGGGGUAGUGGCUUACCAAGGCUUUGACGGGUAGCCGGCCUGAGAGGGUGACCGGCCACAUUGGGACCGAGAUACGGCCCAGACUCCUACGGGAGGCAGCAGUGGGAAUAUUGCACAAUGGGCGGAAGCCUGAUGCAGCAACGCCGCGUGCGGGAUGACGGCCUUCGGGUUGUAAACCGCUUUCGCCUGUGACGAAGCGUGAGUGACGGUAAUGGGUAAAGAAGCACCGGCUAACUACGUG
This 467-nucleotide ribosomal RNA is filed under the name uncultured bacterium. RNAcentral describes it as "partial 16S ribosomal RNA". It matches the Rfam family "Bacterial small subunit ribosomal RNA", at positions 28 to 507 of the family's 1533-position model. The record is from RNAcentral.